GUUCCCAAAUUGCACCAUAGUUUGAGAAACCAUUGCAUCCCCUGGUGAAAUCCUCUGCCUCAAUGGACAAGAACAAGAAUUCCCAGAUAGGAUUUCCAUCCUCACCCCAGCCUGAAAUUGUAGAACAAAUAACUGAUUACACUCAGUUAAAACACCCCUUGAUAAAAGUCGAUUUGCUUGAACUCUUUACUUGCACCGGCUGCAAGGAGUAUGGAGCUGGCAAGAGAUUUUCGUGCCAGCAAUGUGAUUUUCAGCUUCACGGUUUCUGCGCAUCAUCGCCUCCACUGUUUGAAAACCAUCCCCUCCAUGGCCAACACCAGCUCGUGUUCCACGUUAGACCAAAACAAGGUAACGACCCGUCCCUGAUUUAGAAAAGGCCUUGACACUGAUUUUUGUUUAUCUUUUCUAUGCAAGUACUGUUAUCAUCUAAUCUUGACAAUAACAAUAACAUGGAGUUCUAACUGUCAGCAAACGCCAGAAUUUCAUGGCCAACGUGUGAUGUCUGUAACAAAUC
RNAcentral lists this long non-coding RNA (514 nucleotides) under Olea europaea subsp. europaea. The record is from RNAcentral. Lineage: Eukaryota; Viridiplantae; Streptophyta; Magnoliopsida; Lamiales; Oleaceae.